AAUGAACGCUGGCGGCGUGCUUUACACAUGCAAGUCGAGCGAGGCCACCCGCAAGGGUGAGUCGAGCGGCGAACGGGUGAGUAACGCGUGGAUGACCUGCCCUUGAAUGGGGAAUAACCCGGGGAAACUCGGGCUAAUACCGCAUACGACCGAGAGGUGAAAGGGGGCUCGCAAGGGCUCUCGUUCGAGGAGGGGUCCGCGUUCGAUUAGCUAGUUGGUAGGGUAAUGGCCUACCAAGGCGACGAUCGAUAGCCGGCCUGAGAGGGUGAUCGGCCACACUGGAACUGAGACACGGUCCAGACUCCUACGGGAGGCAGCAGUGGGGAAUUUUGCGCAAUGGGCGAGAGCCUGACGCAGCAACGCCGCGUGGAGGAUGAAGGUCUUUGGAUUGUAAACUCCUGUCAG
RNAcentral lists this ribosomal RNA (405 nucleotides) under uncultured bacterium. RNAcentral's name for it is "bacterial SSU rRNA". It matches the Rfam family "Bacterial small subunit ribosomal RNA", at positions 29 to 439 of the family's 1533-position model. The record is from RNAcentral.